Molecule: long non-coding RNA, 196 nt
Filed under: Cercocebus atys (sooty mangabey)
Lineage: Eukaryota; Metazoa; Chordata; Mammalia; Primates; Cercopithecidae
Description: lncRNA (ENSCATG00000045840.1)
Source: RNAcentral
GAAGGUCCUGUGCAUGUUAGCAAGCAAAGAGAGAGUCAAAACAUCCAGCAGAAGCAGGAAGAGAAGAGUUACCCAGCAUUGCACAGCUAUCUUGAGAAGUAGAGGACAAGGCCCCUCUCUUCAGUGACAACUCUCUGAGGCCACCUAUUCCAUCUUAAUUGGGGGACCUAACUAAGUUGAAAGUAAGAAGACUUGG